This 316-nucleotide ribosomal RNA is filed under the name uncultured Desulfomicrobium sp. RNAcentral describes it as "bacterial SSU rRNA". It matches the Rfam family "Bacterial small subunit ribosomal RNA", at positions 1064 to 1382 of the family's 1533-position model. The record is from RNAcentral. Lineage: Bacteria; Pseudomonadati; Thermodesulfobacteriota; Desulfovibrionia; Desulfovibrionales; Desulfomicrobiaceae.
GUCGAGGUGUUGGGUUAAGUCCCGCAACGAGCGCAACCCCUAUUCUCAGUUGCCAGCACAUAAUGGUGGGCACUCUGUGGAGACUGCCGGGUUAACCGGGAGGAAGGUGGGGAUGACGUCAAGUCAUCAUGGCCUUACGCCUAGGGCUACACACGUACUACAAUGGUGGGUACAAAGGGCAGCGAAACCGCGAGGUCGAGCGAAUCUCAAAAAACCCACUCAUAGUCCGGAUUGCAGUCUGCAACUCGACUGCAUGAAGUUGGAAUCGCUAGUAAUCCCGGAUCAGCAUGCCGGGGUGAAUACGUUCCCGGGCCUU